UAUCCGCUCUCGCCGCUGAAUCAGUUUUUACUUUUUAGUGUUUCCAAUCUCUUCUAUCCGGCUCUCCCCUCUCGCUCCUUGUUCCUUUCUCUCACUCUCAUCUUCGCUUUCCACUCUUCCCUCGCCAUGAAGACUGAAGCCCACCCUCGUUGCCUAGCCUUCCUAUCGGCGCACUCGUCAACGACGCCACCUCGCUGGCUCGCACACCUCCCUCUUCGCCUUCAGAUCUGAUAUUCUGGCCGUUCCCUCAGUCCUCCAGGUAUAUAUGUACACUUUUAUGCCUUUGGAGUUUUGUCUUCUCCGAGAUUUCGUAUACCCCAUCUGUUUGUUCGCCGAUUAUAUUAUGAGAGCGAACUGCUGCUUGAUAUAGAUGAGAUGAGAAGGCGUUUCCGAAUUUUAGACCAUCUUCUUUGUAAUAAGUAUUACUUUGUGAUGCCAAAAGAGCCUCCAGAGAGAAUGCCAUAAAGAUUGGAGGAAGUAAAAUAUUUUGUUAAAGAAAUAUCGUUAAAUUGGGAGAUGUAUAUGGGAAGGCUAGUAUGUAUAGGUACACGCGUGAAGAAAAGGCCACAGAUUGGAAUAUGGUUAUAUAUCAUGUAAAUUCAUUGACAGUGCGGAAAAGUGGCCCAGUUGUACUGAGAUUGUUGAGUUGCAAUGGAAAGCUAUCAAGAUUUUUCCAAAAGCUGCAAAAAAAAAAAAAUGCGUUGGUUUCGAAUCCGGUGCCUAUACUGCUUCCCCCACCACCCGCAUCUACGCCAUCAAUAUCAUCUGCCUGGAGAUGCUUCUAAUUUCGAAUAGACAUGUCCAUUUAGGCUUUUUGGUUAGAAUGAUAAUCUAAAUUUGUAAUUUCGCAUUUUUUCUAGGGCUGAAUUUUACGAGGGUUAGUUUUGUUUAGCUUUAUCUUGGUCGCUUUUCAUUUAAUUUUUGUUGAGUGAUUUCUAUGAACAUGUCUUAUUUUCAGUUAAUUAUUGUUAAUUUUGUUUAGGUAUGGCUUUUGUGCCUAGAGAUAUUUGUCUUCUUAGAGAUUUUGUAUACCCUUUGGUUCGUCACGAACUAAAUUUAUUUUCUCAUUCGUUUGUUCACCAAUUACAUGAUCAGAGCGAACU
Molecule: RNA transcript, 1103 nt
Organism: Corylus avellana
Lineage: Eukaryota; Viridiplantae; Streptophyta; Magnoliopsida; Fagales; Betulaceae
Source: RefSeq, a predicted model, not a curated record